Molecule: non-coding RNA, 73 nt
Organism: Stegodyphus mimosarum
Lineage: Eukaryota; Metazoa; Arthropoda; Arachnida; Araneae; Eresidae
Source: Rfam
GCCCUCGUGGUGUAGUGGUCAGCACGCUCGACGUGUGACCGAGAGGUCCGUGGUUCGAUUCCCGGCGAAGGCA